RNAcentral lists this ribosomal RNA (586 nucleotides) under uncultured bacterium. Its description in RNAcentral is "bacterial SSU rRNA". It matches the Rfam family "Bacterial small subunit ribosomal RNA", at positions 338 to 916 of the family's 1533-position model. The record is from RNAcentral.
CCUACGGGAGGCAGCAGUGGGGAAUAUUGCACAAUGGGCGCAAGCCUGAUGCAGCCAUGCCGCGUGUAUGAAGAAGGCCUUCGGGUUGUAAAGUACUUUCAGCGGGGAGGAAGGGAGUAAAGUUAAUACCUUUGCUCAUUGACGUUACCCGCAGAAGAAGCACCGGCUAACUCCGUGCCAGCAGCCGCGGUAAUACGGAGGGUGCAAGCGUUAAUCGGAAUUACUGGGCGUAAAGCGCACGCAGGCGGUUUGUUAAGUCAGAUGUGAAAUCCCCGGGCUCAACCUGGGAACUGCAUCUGAUACUGGCAAGCUUGAGUCUCGUAGAGGGGGGUAGAAUUCCAGGUGUAGCGGUGAAAUGCGUAGAGAUCUGGAGGAAUACCGGUGGCGAUGGCGGCCCCCUGGACGAAGACUGACGCUCAGGUGCGAAAGCGUGGGGAGCAAACAGGAUUAGGUACCCUGGUAGUCCACGCCGUAAACGAUGUCGACUUGGAGGUUGUGCCCUUGAGGCGUGGCUUCCGGAGCUAACGCGUUAAGUCGACCGCCUGGGGAGUACGGCCGCAAGGUUAAAACUCAAAUGAAUUGACGG